CCUUAAUUAAUCCAUGAUUAAUCCUUAAUUAAUCAAUGAUUAUCCCUUAAUUAAUUCAUGAUUAAUUCUUAAUUAAUCAACCAUAUUCAAUAUGCAAUCAUGCAUACUCAUUCACAAUUCAUUCAUCAUCUAUCUAGAAUCACCUUUAAAUCCAUGAGAUUGGCUAAGGAAGACUAGACUCGAGCUCAAGCUAAUCACACUUCACUUCUGGAUCAGUCUCGGUUCAGAACCAUCACAAGGAGCCGGCUGAUCCGAAUACUAUCCUUGGCCAUCUGAAUUCAAAACAUAAAAGUUGGAACAUAAGGUUCACUUGUCUGGUUCAAGAAGAAACUCAACUCAG
RNAcentral lists this long non-coding RNA (340 nucleotides) under Brassica rapa (field mustard). Its description in RNAcentral is "long non-coding RNA (BRAP_LNC009006)". Lineage: Eukaryota; Viridiplantae; Streptophyta; Magnoliopsida; Brassicales; Brassicaceae. The record is from RNAcentral.